RNAcentral lists this transfer RNA (77 nucleotides) under Pseudomonadales bacterium. RNAcentral's name for it is "tRNA-Arg". It matches the Rfam family "tRNA". Rfam says of the family: Transfer RNA (tRNA) molecules are approximately 80 nucleotides in length. Their secondary structure includes four short double-helical elements and three loops (D, anti-codon, and T loops). Lineage: Bacteria; Pseudomonadati; Pseudomonadota; Gammaproteobacteria; Pseudomonadales. The record is from RNAcentral.
GCCCCGGUGGCACAUCUGGAUAGCGCGGCCCCCUCCUAAGGGGCAGGUAGCAGGUUCGAAUCCUGCCCGGGGCACCA